RNAcentral lists this unclassified non-coding RNA (2654 nucleotides) under Hevea brasiliensis (rubber tree). The record is from RNAcentral. Lineage: Eukaryota; Viridiplantae; Streptophyta; Magnoliopsida; Malpighiales; Euphorbiaceae.
CAUAUAGUGGAAGCAUGCAACUCUUACAAUCUCCUAAUCCCUAAAACAAAUAGCUAACCAUUUACAUAGGGAUAUCUUCUCAUCCCUAACACAAAUAUCUACAUUUACAUAGCGAACUCUUCAAAUCAAUGAAUCGAGUUCUAGGAUGUCGCAUGCCCCUAUGAAAAACAAAUGGGCAGAACUCUAUUGUACCGUAACUGCAUGAAACCUAACAAAAUGAAGUGCUGCAAGGAAAAUGUAAAGAAUCUGUCAUGUUUUGUUCUUGAGCUUUCAGAUCUACCACAAUAACGGUUAUGUUGUCUUUGCUUCCUUUUUGAAGAGCACGGUGUGAGAGGUACUCAGCUGCUGCCUGAGCUGCAGGAUCAAUUCCCUCACCCCUUUGAGUAGGUUAGUGCAGCACCAUUCUUUUUAUGCCAGACAAGUAUUCGUCUCCGAGCCAGGUCACAUGCUUCUUCGUUUGACAUGACAUUCCAUAGACCAUCACUUGCCAGAAUCAGGCAUUCAUCAUCUUUUGCCCGAGGAACAAACAUUACUUCUGGUUCUGGAAUAAUCCAUGGUUUUAAAUAUCUAUCACCAAUUGACCUUGACAUUGCAAGUACGCCAAAGACACGAUGCCCAUUCCAUUGUAUAACUUUGCCUCCAGCUGCUUCUAUCCUUGCAUAUUCAUCUUCCCGAUUUGGUUUAUGAUCCACUGAUAAAGCCAUAGGUUCUUUCCCACGAUAUAGAACUGCUCGUGAGUCUCCACAGUUCGCCACUAUAAUGUGGGAUGAACAAAUAAUGGCAACAACAGCAGUUGAACCAACAGUUUCAGGGGCAACGGGUUCAGCGCUGCCUUUUCCUCCAACUUCAGCAUCUACCUUAAGAAAACAAUUGGUGAAUGUUUUCUUCCACUGCUCUUGGCAACUAUCUUUUAUACUUCCAUCACUCAGGCCAUUCUUAAUGAAUUCUCCCUCCUCAGCCAAAGCAGAAUGGAUAUGAUCGCGACAAUAAUUUGCAACCUGUGAGCCUCCAUGACCAUCAUAAACUCCAAAGAAAUGAGCAGUCUGGUGAGUUAUAUACUUGCUCAUACCAUCAAGCACCCGGUCCCCAAUUAGCAUUUGUAUAGGAAUUUCCAGAAAAUAAGGCACAGUUGCAACUGCAUCUUCCAUCUCAGGUCUCCUUCCACAUAUAGAUGUAACUCCCCAAAGCGGCACAUAGUCAACCUCAAAAACACUGCAUGUGACUGUUCCCCUCACUCCUUUUCCCAGAGCCAACUGAAGUACAACUGCAUAUGGCUUUGGGUCAGAUCCAUCUCCAAUCUCUUCCUCAAGGCUCACUGCCACAGAAACAGAAUCUCUCACGACCUCUGUCUCAACAUUUGACUCCAAAUCCGCGGCAUUAGCAAUAAUAUCAACACUGCAAAUGCUUUUCCCAAUAUCCACAGAACCUGGCGUUCCUAUCUCAGAGGUGGCCUCAAAACCCAGGAAUUCCUCUCCACAUAAGCUGCUAGGCUCACUAGCCGCUGAAAGAGAACAAGAGCUAUCAAAAAUAGGAUCACCCUCCAAAGAAAAGGAAUCAUCUUCUUCUUCACUUUCCUGGUUUAUCACAUCAUCACUGCCCACCCAAUUAUUUUUAUUUUCAGAGACCAUAUCCAACAAGGGGACUCCUCUCUGCUUGUCCUGUUCUGGAACUGCAACUGUUGUGUCACUAACUUCAUUAUCCAAAUCACAACAAUGACAAUCCUUAUCCCCAACAGUAGAAACCUUAGUUACAGAAUCGGAUAAUAAGCCAGCCGUGUCUUCCAUUAACUUAAGUCUUGUGAUAUCCAAAUGGGUAUCUACGGUUGGGUUUUCACAUACUGAAUUACCUACCCUAAAUGGCACUGCAACCGUCGGAGGCAUCUCCUCCAUCAAAAUCCUUAUCUGAGAAGUACAAAAGGUUACCCUCUGACUCGUCUAAAAUCAUACAACCGGUCAUUGUUCAACUAAAUGAUCAACUCCUCUCAUCAAGAACGAUUUUGGAAAGUAAAGAGCGGGUUUUGGACGACCAUUUUCCAUACCUGCUUAGGCUUUAUCAGCUUCUUCUUCUCCAGACUCUUCUCUAUCUACUUCCAUCAACUAAUACUGUUGUCAAUGCCUAAUACUGUUGUCAACUGUAAGAAAGCGUUCCUGUCGUUCCCCUUCCUAUCUUCAGAACCAAAGACUACCUUCCUUCCUAAAUUCUGAAAGCCAUGGAAGAAUCAAGGAACAAGAUAUAGAGGGGUUUGCUUACCAUUUAAAAACUAACGCCUCAAGUGUGAUCACUAAAGACUUGUUUUCUUGAUUCUUGUAUUAGUCUUGAACAUAAUUUAAUCAUAUGCGGGCGUUUAGACAUGGAAGAACAAGAAAGGAAGUGGAGAAGAAAAGAAAAAUUAACACUGGAAAAGAAAAGGAAAAGGAAAAGUAAAAAAAAAAAUUAGAAAAAGACAUUGCAAAGUGAGUGAGACUGAUGGACAGGUGUCAAGUGAGAAGAGCAGACAACAGCAUCUCUACCCAUCAUCCCAUGCUCCUGUCCUUCAUUUUGCUCCCCACUUCAUAACAGUAAGGGUCUGUUCAAUGUUUGCAUUAACAAAAGGUUUUCAUUCUGCCUAAUUCUCUUUUUCUUAUCUCCUUUUCUACUCAAACAACCAAACACUU